RNAcentral lists this ribosomal RNA (1522 nucleotides) under Salmonella enterica. RNAcentral's name for it is "bacterial SSU rRNA". It matches the Rfam family "Bacterial small subunit ribosomal RNA". Lineage: Bacteria; Pseudomonadati; Pseudomonadota; Gammaproteobacteria; Enterobacterales; Enterobacteriaceae. RNAcentral also lists the same sequence under 3 other names. The record is from RNAcentral.
AGAGUUUGAUCAUGGCUCAGAUUGAACGCUGGCGGCAGGCCUAACACAUGCAAGUCGAACGGUAACAGGAAGCAGCUUGCUGCUUCGCUGACGAGUGGCGGACGGGUGAGUAAUGUCUGGGAAACUGCCUGAUGGAGGGGGAUAACUACUGGAAACGGUGGCUAAUACCGCAUAACGUCGCAAGACCAAAGAGGGGGACCUUCGGGCCUCUUGCCAUCAGAUGUGCCCAGAUGGGAUUAGCUAGUUGGUGAGGUAACGGCUCACCAAGGCGACGAUCCCUAGCUGGUCUGAGAGGAUGACCAGCCACACUGGAACUGAGACACGGUCCAGACUCCUACGGGAGGCAGCAGUGGGGAAUAUUGCACAAUGGGCGCAAGCCUGAUGCAGCCAUGCCGCGUGUAUGAAGAAGGCCUUCGGGUUGUAAAGUACUUUCAGCGGGGAGGAAGGUGUUGUGGUUAAUAACCGCAGCAAUUGACGUUACCCGCAGAAGAAGCACCGGCUAACUCCGUGCCAGCAGCCGCGGUAAUACGGAGGGUGCAAGCGUUAAUCGGAAUUACUGGGCGUAAAGCGCACGCAGGCGGUCUGUCAAGUCGGAUGUGAAAUCCCCGGGCUCAACCUGGGAACUGCAUUCGAAACUGGCAGGCUUGAGUCUUGUAGAGGGGGGUAGAAUUCCAGGUGUAGCGGUGAAAUGCGUAGAGAUCUGGAGGAAUACCGGUGGCGAAGGCGGCCCCCUGGACAAAGACUGACGCUCAGGUGCGAAAGCGUGGGGAGCAAACAGGAUUAGAUACCCUGGUAGUCCACGCCGUAAACGAUGUCUACUUGGAGGUUGUGCCCUUGAGGCGUGGCUUCCGGAGCUAACGCGUUAAGUAGACCGCCUGGGGAGUACGGCCGCAAGGUUAAAACUCAAAUGAAUUGACGGGGGCCCGCACAAGCGGUGGAGCAUGUGGUUUAAUUCGAUGCAACGCGAAGAACCUUACCUGGUCUUGACAUCCACGGAAGUUUUCAGAGAUGAGAAUGUGCCUUCGGGAACCGUGAGACAGGUGCUGCAUGGCUGUCGUCAGCUCGUGUUGUGAAAUGUUGGGUUAAGUCCCGCAACGAGCGCAACCCUUAUCCUUUGUUGCCAGCGGUCCGGCCGGGAACUCAAAGGAGACUGCCAGUGAUAAACUGGAGGAAGGUGGGGAUGACGUCAAGUCAUCAUGGCCCUUACGACCAGGGCUACACACGUGCUACAAUGGCGCAUACAAAGAGAAGCGACCUCGCGAGAGCAAGCGGACCUCAUAAAGUGCGUCGUAGUCCGGAUUGGAGUCUGCAACUCGACUCCAUGAAGUCGGAAUCGCUAGUAAUCGUGGAUCAGAAUGCCACGGUGAAUACGUUCCCGGGCCUUGUACACACCGCCCGUCACACCAUGGGAGUGGGUUGCAAAAGAAGUAGGUAGCUUAACCUUCGGGAGGGCGCUUACCACUUUGUGAUUCAUGACUGGGGUGAAGUCGUAACAAGGUAACCGUAGGGGAACCUGCGGUUG